Molecule: ribosomal RNA, 330 nt
Filed under: Mesorhabditis belari
Lineage: Eukaryota; Metazoa; Nematoda; Chromadorea; Rhabditida; Rhabditidae
Description: eukaryotic LSU rRNA
Rfam family: Eukaryotic large subunit ribosomal RNA (bases 158-330)
Source: RNAcentral
GCAAGCAGCCGCCUCUUGCUGCUGCUGGCCCCUUUCUGGGUGAGAAAAUUGCCAACCAAAACGUCUAGCGGCUUCACCAUGCCAUUUCGUACACAGUUGUCUGAAAAGCACACAUAGCCAGUGGGGUGUACGGGGCAUCGUGCAAGCAUCGAAGUUGAAACCUCAGAUCAGUCGUGAUUACCCGCUGAACUUAAGCAUAUUACUAAGCGGAGGAAAAGAAAUUAACAAAGAUUCCCCAAGUAACGGCGAGUGAACGGGGAAAAGCCCAGCGCUGAAUCCCUCGGCUUUUAGUCGCGGGGAAAUGUAGCGUAUAGGUGCGGCUAUCCGGCG